CCUACGGGGGGCUGCAGUAGGGAAUUUUCCACAAUGGACGAAAGUCUGAUGGAGCAACGCCGCGUGUGUGAUGAAGGGUUUCGGCUCGUAAAACACUGUUGUAAGAGAAGAAUGACAUUGAGAGUAACUGUUCAGUGUGUGACGGUAUCUUACCAGAAAGGAACGUCUAAAUACGUGCCAGCAGCCGCGGUAAUACGUAUGUUCCAAGCGUUAUCCGGAUAUAUUGGGCGUAAAGCGGGCGCAGCCGGUUAUUUAACUCCGAAUUAAAAGCCCACAGCAUAACUGUGGAAGUGCUUUGGAGACUGGAUAACUGGAGUGGAGUAGAGGAGAGUGGAACUCCAUGUGUAGCGGUGAAAUGCGUAGAUAUAUGGAAGAACACCAGUGGCGAAGGCGGCUCUAUGGACUGUAUCUGACUUUGAGUCUCGAAAGUGUGGGUAGCAAACAGGAUUAGAUACCCCAGUAGUC
RNAcentral lists this ribosomal RNA (465 nucleotides) under uncultured Weissella sp. RNAcentral describes it as "bacterial SSU rRNA". It matches the Rfam family "Bacterial small subunit ribosomal RNA", at positions 338 to 795 of the family's 1533-position model. Lineage: Bacteria; Bacillati; Bacillota; Bacilli; Lactobacillales; Lactobacillaceae. The record is from RNAcentral.